Molecule: unclassified non-coding RNA, 28 nt
Filed under: Mus musculus (house mouse)
Lineage: Eukaryota; Metazoa; Chordata; Mammalia; Rodentia; Muridae
Description: oocyte_clustered_small_RNA9959
Source: RNAcentral
UACUCACUGAUAUGUGGAUAUUAGGCCA